AGCAGCCGCGGUAAAUUCCAGCUCCAAUAGCGUAUAUUAAAGUUGUUGCAGUUAAAAAGCUCGUAGUUGAACUUCGGGAUCAAUGGAUUGGUCAUGCCGAUGGUGUGUACUGGUCAUAUUGGUUCUCACCUUCUAAGGAACCAUAAUGUCAUUUAUUUGAUGUUGUGGGGAAUUAGGACUGUUACCUUGAAAAAAUUAGAGUGUUUAAAGCAGGCUAACGCUUGAAUACAUUAGCAUGGAAUAAUGAAAUAGGACAUCGCAUUCUAUUUUGUUGGUUUCUAGGAUCGAUGUAAUGAUUAAUAGGGAUAGUUGGGGGCAUUAGUAUUCAAUUGUCAGAGGUGAAAUUCUUGGAUUUAUUGAAGACUAACUACUGCGAAAGCAUUUGCCAAGGAUGUUUUCA
RNAcentral lists this ribosomal RNA (400 nucleotides) under uncultured Glomeromycotina. Its description in RNAcentral is "SSU rRNA". It matches the Rfam family "Eukaryotic small subunit ribosomal RNA", at positions 569 to 972 of the family's 1831-position model. Lineage: Eukaryota; Fungi; Glomeromycota. The record is from RNAcentral.